Molecule: ribosomal RNA, 427 nt
Filed under: uncultured Desulfovibrionaceae bacterium
Lineage: Bacteria; Pseudomonadati; Thermodesulfobacteriota; Desulfovibrionia; Desulfovibrionales; Desulfovibrionaceae
Description: partial 16S ribosomal RNA
Rfam family: Bacterial small subunit ribosomal RNA
Source: RNAcentral
UGGGGAAUAUUGCGCAAUGGACGAAAGUCUGACGCAGCGACGCCGCGUGAGGGAUGAAGGUUCUCGGAUCGUAAACCUCUGUCAGAAGGGAAGAAAGGCCAGUGGGCUAAUCACCACUGGAUUGACGGUACCUUCAAAGGAAGCACCGGCUAACUCCGUGCCAGCAGCCGCGGUAAUACGGAGGGUGCAAGCGUUAAUCGGAAUUACUGGGCGUAAAGCGCUCGUAGGCGGCGAAAUAAGUCAGGGGUGAAAUCCCACGGCUCAACCGUGGAACUGCCUUUGAAACUAUUUUGCUAGAGUAUGUGAGAGGAUAGUGGAAUUUCUGGUGUAGGAGUGGAAUCCGUAGAUAUCAGAAGGAACAUCAGUGGCGAAGGCGACUAUCUGGCACAAAACUGACGCUGAGGAGCGAAAGCGUGGGGAGCAAACA